This 775-nucleotide long non-coding RNA is filed under the name Olea europaea (common olive). Its description in RNAcentral is "long non-coding RNA (OEUR_LNC010466)". Lineage: Eukaryota; Viridiplantae; Streptophyta; Magnoliopsida; Lamiales; Oleaceae. The record is from RNAcentral.
AAAAGUCGUCAAUUAAUUUUAUUAUUUAUUCAACAUAUAAUUUUAAUCGGGUCAAGUUUAAAUAAAAUUUCAAUUGGGUCAAAAUUGAAAUCUUAGGAUCAAAACUUUUUAAAAGGUUCAAAUUUAAUACCCUUUGAAAAUUACACAUUAACCCUAGAUUUAAAUUAAAACUGGGUCCCUCAAUAUUUAAAAUUGUGUGGCAAGUCCUUACUUAAAAAUUUGCAAAACAAGCCCUAAUCCCUUAAUUUCUCUAUAGGACCUCUAAACUCACAAAUUGAAAGACUAGUCCCAUCCCCAAAUAUAUUACAUACUGCUAAAAUCAAAGAUUAUAACCCAAAAGAAAAAACCACCAUUCUUCUCUCAGUUUUCGCCGCCGGCGACAUGGUUAUGUGUCAAUAAUAACCGAUUUAUCAACUUAUAAGGCGUUAGAAUUCAAAAAGGACAACCACGACCCGCUCUAACUGUUUGAUAAUUGCCGCAAAUGCACCACCCACGAACCAGUUUGGCGCCUUCACAGACAGUUUUUUUUUUUUUUUUUUUUUUUAGGGUUGUUGUGGUUGAUUCGGUGGUGUGGCAAGUGGGCCGAGCUUGAUUUUAUUUUGGCAUCAGUGUUGUGCAAAUGUAUAUAUACUGUGAAACUUCCAUGACACUCCAUGGUUCAAACUCAGAUACUGCUGGAAUGUCUGGUACUUAUCAAGUCUUCAACAUUGGAAUUCACUAGGCAUUAAAUAAAGUAAUUUGAUUCCAAGACAGUAGGACUUUUAAAGUAAUAGAC